UACGUAGGGUGCGAGCGUUAAUCGGAAUUACUGGGCGUAAAGCGUGCGCAGGCGGUUUUGUAAGCCAGAUGUGAAAUCCCCAGGCUUAACCUGGGAAGUGCGCGGAAAACUGGCGAGCUUGAGUGCCGGAGAGGGUCGCGGAAUUCCCGGUGUAGAGGUGAAAUUCGUAGAUAUCGGGAGGAACACCAGUGGCGAAGGCGGCGACCUGGACGGACACUGACGCUGAGACGCGAAAGCGUGGGGAGCAAACAGG
RNAcentral lists this ribosomal RNA (253 nucleotides) under uncultured bacterium. Its description in RNAcentral is "partial 16S ribosomal RNA". It matches the Rfam family "Bacterial small subunit ribosomal RNA", at positions 524 to 776 of the family's 1533-position model. The record is from RNAcentral.